RNAcentral lists this microRNA (22 nucleotides) under Cavia porcellus (domestic guinea pig). RNAcentral's name for it is "cpo-miR-328-3p". Its record names the gene cpo-miR-328-3p. The record is from miRBase by way of RNAcentral. Lineage: Eukaryota; Metazoa; Chordata; Mammalia; Rodentia; Caviidae.
CUGGCCCUCUCUGCCCUUCUGU